GGAGAGGUCGCAUAGUGGCCUAGUGCGGUCGUCUCGAAAACGACUGAAGGUGCUGAGCCUUCCGUGGGUUCGAAUCCCACCCUCUCCG
Molecule: transfer RNA, 88 nt
Filed under: Chloroflexota bacterium
Lineage: Bacteria; Bacillati; Chloroflexota
Also listed under: 1 other name
Description: tRNA-Ser
Rfam family: tRNA
About the family: Transfer RNA (tRNA) molecules are approximately 80 nucleotides in length. Their secondary structure includes four short double-helical elements and three loops (D, anti-codon, and T loops).
Source: RNAcentral